UGGGGAAUUUUGGACAAUGGGGGAAACCCUGAUCCAGCCAUCCCGCGUGUGCGAUGAAGGCCUUCGGGUUGUAAAGCACUUUUGGCAGGAAAGAAACGUCGCGGGUUAAUACCCCGCGAAACUGACGGUACCUGCAGAAUAAGCACCGGCUAACUACGUGCCAGCAGCCGCGGUAAUACGUAGGGUGCAAGCGUUAAUCGGAAUUACUGGGCGUAAAGCGUGCGCAGGCGGUUCGGAAAGAAAGAUGUGAAAUCCCAGAGCUUAACUUUGGAACUGCAUUUUUAACUACCGGGCCAGAGUGUGUCAGAGGGAGGUGGAAUUCCGCGUAGCAGUGAAAUGCGUAGAUAUGCGGAGGAACACCGAUGGCGAAGGCAGCCUCCUGGGAUAACACUGACGCUCAUGCACGAAAGCGUGGGGAGCAAACAGGAUUAGAUACCCUGGUAGUCCACGCCCUAAACGAUGUCAACUAGCUGUUGGGGCCUUCGGGCCUUGGUAGCGCAGCUAACGCGUGAAGUUGACCGCCUGGGGAGUACGGUCGCAAGAUUAAAACUCAAAUGAAUUGACGGGGUCAUAGCUG
This 577-nucleotide ribosomal RNA is filed under the name uncultured bacterium. RNAcentral's name for it is "partial 16S ribosomal RNA". It matches the Rfam family "Bacterial small subunit ribosomal RNA", at positions 355 to 932 of the family's 1533-position model. The record is from RNAcentral.